Catharus ustulatus (Swainson's thrush) is the source of this 414-nucleotide non-coding RNA. Lineage: Eukaryota; Metazoa; Chordata; Aves; Passeriformes; Turdidae. The record is from the annotation of a RefSeq genome assembly.
GACCUCCAGCCCCCCAGGGCAUCCCUGACUCUGCUCUGCCGCGCCUCCGGGUUCAAUUUUGGGAGUUACGAAAUGUACUGGAUCCGCCAGAGACCCCGCAAUGCGCUGGAAUACGUUGCAGGGAUCAACACCAAUGAUGGCAGAACUGCCUACGCGUCCUCAGUCAAGGGCCGGUUCAGGAUCUCCAGGGACAACGGGCAGAGCUCGGUGACGCUGACCAUGAACAACCUCAAGGCCGAGGAUUCCGCCGUUUAUUUCUGUGCCAAAAAUGCUGGAGAUAAUGGUGAUGCUGUUAAUAUUAAUAAUGUUGAAAGUUUCGAUCCCCCCCUCCAGUCACUGUGUGUCCACCUGACCCCAAAUGUCCCCGGAUCCCUCUCCAAAACCCCAAGCCGUCGCCUCAGCAUUGAGCACUGA